UACGAAGGAUCCAAGCGUUAUCCGGAUUUAUUGGGUUUAAAGGGUGCGUAGGUGGGCUAUUAAGUCAGUGGUGAAAGCUUCCCGCUUAACGGGAAAAUUGCCAUUGAUACUGAUGGUCUUGAGUGCAUUUGAAGUGGGCGGAAUGUGUCGUGUAGUGGUGAAAUACUUAGAUAUGACACAGAACACCGAUUGCGAAGGCAGCUCACUAAACUGUAACUGACACUGAGGCACGAAAGCGUGGGGAUCAAACAGG
Molecule: ribosomal RNA, 253 nt
Filed under: uncultured bacterium
Lineage: Bacteria
Description: partial 16S ribosomal RNA
Rfam family: Bacterial small subunit ribosomal RNA
Source: RNAcentral